UCCUGGCCCGACGGUGACGGAGGGCUUUGAUGAGGCCCGGCGGCCGCGUGCUUGCCAGGAAGGCCCGGGGCUUGAGGCCCUGGAAGGCCUGGCCCGUUCAGGAGUCCCGGCUGUUUGGGGGAAUGUCCCACGCCCUGUGGGGAUUUGAGCCGUGUCUCCCGGCCGACUUGGGUGUCCCGGUUGGUGUGUGGUCGGGCCUGGGGGCUUGGUGCGGGCGGGAACCGCGGGUAGCGACCACGUCUCGUCAGGGGGUUCGUGCCUGCUGCUGGGCACGGGAACGGCUCCGGGGGGGUCUUACGGGCGCUGAGGGGAUUCCGCAUCAUGGAGAGGUCAAGGGGAGUUGGUGGCCGUCACCCUUCGUCAGGGCAGGGUAGCAUCAGUGCUCCCGUGCUGGGGUUCCUGGAGAGCCGGCUGGCACGGACAGACUCUUGUGAGGGCAAGUGGCUGAUCGUGCGUCGGAUGGGUCCAGCAAAGGAGAGAAAGCUUCGGGUGCGCGCGCUCGCCAGGGAAAGGGUGACAGCGGGUGGGACCGAGAGGGAGAGAGAGAGAGAGAGAAAAAGGAAGAGAGAGGGUUUCCGCAGGGGCGGUGAGUCCUGGCGGAAGUCCUGAGGCAGAGGAGGUGCCAGGGGUUUGGGUUUCCCGGUCGUGUCGGGGGUGUGGCGCAGGUUGCCCCAGUGGGCCUGAAUGUGCCUCCGUGGGGCACCUUGUUGCCGUGUUGGGGGGCGGGGAGCCGGCCUUGGGGAUCCAUCUUUCGGGCCCUGGGACGUGGGAGAAGAAUGCCGGGCCUCUCUCUGUGCCCCUGGCGCCUCUGUGCAGGCCGGGCCUGCACCACCCCCCCGCGCCCGUCCCCAGGCAGGGUCCGUGUGGCUGCAGACACCCAGAGAGAGGGGAGGCUGGGGAGGCUGGGGAGCCGUGGCAGCCCGAUGCAGUGCGGGUCUCCAGGUGGAGGGGCCCUGGUCCCCUGGCGCCAGCGUGGCCCUUCCUCCUUGUGGAAACCCUUGUGGUGUGUGUGCUCUCUCGCCCUGACCCAGGAGAGCAGCAUGGCGGACCCCUGAUCUUGUGGCGUGCCACCGCGCGAGGCCGAGGAGCUCCCGCAGCCCAGUGGGCGUGGCGUCCUUGUCGCGGCUCUGUGGAGACCUGGCGAUGGAGAGCAGCAUGGCGGACCCCUGAUCUUGUGGCGUGCCACCGCGCGAGGCCGAGGAGCUCCCGCAGACCAGUGGGCGUGGCGUCCUUGUCGCGGCUCUGUGGAGACCUGGCGAUGGUGAGCGGCCCCUGUCCUCAGUGGUGGAGAACUCGCCCUUGGGGCGCUCGUCUGUCCGGAGCCCCGGGCCAGCCCCGCUUCUCGCGGGCUUUGGCCCCGGCAGGCCAGCUCCGGGGGCGUGAGGGGGAGCGUCCCGUCCUGCCCAGUGGCUCGUCUGUCUGGGCACGCCCCCAAACGCUGCCGUGAUGGAGCGGGUGGGAUGUCCAGGUGCGGAGGCCGUGAAUUUGCCUUGCGGCGGCGGAGCCCGUGCUCGGAUCGAUGAUGACUCCCUCUAAAGCAUUCCUUGGAAAUCUGAACAAAAUGAGUGAGAACUCACUACCGUC
RNAcentral lists this long non-coding RNA (1584 nucleotides) under Sus scrofa (pig). RNAcentral's name for it is "lncRNA (ENSSSCG00070005519.1)". The stretch from base 1514 to 1584 matches the Rfam family "Small nucleolar RNA SNORD116", at positions 1 to 71 of the family's 92-position model. Lineage: Eukaryota; Metazoa; Chordata; Mammalia; Artiodactyla; Suidae. The record is from RNAcentral.